GGGCGGCGGUUCCAGUCGCCGACGCUUCAGGGCCAGGCAGUGCCGGCCGCUGCAGAUGAUGGAGGAGCAGUGAGCAUCACCGUGGCCUUGUGGAGCUCCAAAAGAUUAGUCGUGGACAUUCAGAAAACAACAAUUUCCUGAACAAUAACAACCAAAUGGUAUUGGACAUGAUCCUUUAUCCAUCAAUUGGAAUCCAUCAGACCAUCAACUGGGAAACUGUGGCAAGGCCUGUGCCUGGCUUAACACCCAAAGAAUGUGCAAAGAGGUUUGAUGAACUGAAGAGCCGUGGAAGUUCACCUGUCGACAACCAGUAUAGCCCCCUAAUGGCUGCUGGCGAGAGCCCUGUUGAAACUUUAGCCACCUGUAUCAAGUUCUCACUUCUUAACACACAGGGAGAAUUUCAGGAGACUCCAGUUGGUCAGGACGCAGCUUCUAAAACAGGCCAAACACGGUGAUCCAUGUAUGUGAUGAAGCCAAAAACUUGAAAGAUUUUAUUUGCUCAUGAGAUCUUUUGAUAUCAGAAAUGAAUUUCUUUGCUUAAUCUUUAUCUAUGGAUGCCCAGCGCUGGAAAGAGGUGAACAUUUCAGUUCAUUGUGACGUUCACAUUUCAACUGGUUGAUAAAAUAUGUUAAAAGGAGCACUAAGGAGAAUAAAGAUUGUGAGAUGCCCACUUUAGAGCCAAGAAAUGUCAUUUCAAUUCUUAUUUCUUCAGAGUUUUUGAAAAUGGAUUUAUUGCUGAUCUUCAACACAAUGAAGCUGACGACUUAAAGGACAAGAAAGAUAAGUUUAGGAGUAAACUUUUUUGUAAGAAGAUUGAAAGACUGCUUGAUCCUGAAUAUUUGAAUCCAGAUUCUCGGAAAAAUGCAGCAACAUUAUACAGAUGCAGUUUGUGUAAGAAGCUUUUAACAAAAGAAACAGAAAGAAUUCCUUGCAUUCCUGGAAAAAUCAACGUGGGUCAACGUGGAAAUAUUAUCUACAUUCACAUAAGUGAUAAGACUUGGGAUGUUCAUGAGUAUUUGAAUAGUCUUUUUGAAGAACUAAAAUCUUGGAGAGAUGUAUAUUGGUACUUGUGGGGAACAGUCAACUGGCUAACUUGUUCAAGAUGUUAUCAAGCUUUUCUCUGUACAGAAUUUUCACAUUGUCAGUAUCACUCAGAAACAGUGAUUUAUCCUACUGCAGGAAGUUCACUGAGUACCUUUGGCACUGGAAUUUAUCCCUGCUAUAACCAAAAGGUUCUUUGGUUCGACCCCACUCAGCUUACAAAGUAAGGGACCACAUGGUUGCUCUUCAUGAUCAAGGUGAGGGUAAAGAUUUGCUGUCUUGUCCAACUGCUAGAAUCCUGGACGAUCUGCACAAACACACAGAAGUCAUUCUUGCGCCUUUUGCUAAAGACACAGUUAGUGAUUCUGGGGUUGGUCUCCGUGAUGAAAAAGGUCUAGACUGUGAUGUUUUACUGGAACCAAAUACACCAUGGGGCCCCAAGAGUGGGGAGCUCAAAGCUUUCUUGUCACUGAAAAACUGGACUCUGCAACUGAAACAACAGUCAUUAUUUUCAGAAGAAGAAGAAUAUACCACUGGAUCUGAGGUCACUGAAGUUGAAGUUGGAGAUGAAGAAGAAGUAUCCAAGAAACAAAGGAAAAAGAAAAAGCCAAAGAAGUUCACUAAACAACCAAAAAAACAGAUGUCUUCACCCUGUGGUCAGAAGAAAGAAAAGGCAUUGGAGAAGUCAACUUCUAGAGAUGUGUCUCCUUUCACUGUGAGUAUGCAGAAGAAUAAGUGGGAUGCCACAAGAUCCUUGAGGUUCAAUCAAGAUGCACAAAGAGAAGAUGAUCAACGGCAGGUGUCUGAAAUUACCAGGCACCUAAUAAAGAUGAGAUUGGGUGACCUGGACCGAGUCAAGUCAAAAGAAGCAGAAGAAUUUGCAGGAGGCAUUUACUCCAGGUUUGAAGCACAAAUCAAGGCCUCAGUGCCAGUCACUGCACAGCAGAGCAGCUCAGAGAAAAGCACAAGGUCUAAAAGUCAUUUUGGUCAAGGUCGUCCUGUGUAA
This is an RNA transcript of Vicugna pacos (alpaca), 2047 nucleotides long. It is a transcript of the gene named SANT and BTB domain regulator of class switch recombination pseudogene, with no coding region annotated. The record is from RefSeq and is a predicted model, not a curated record. NCBI's taxonomy places the organism in Eukaryota, Metazoa, Chordata, Mammalia, Artiodactyla, Camelidae.